RNAcentral lists this small RNA (391 nucleotides) under Pseudomonas sp. StFLB209. Its description in RNAcentral is "Pseudomonas sRNA CrcZ". It matches the Rfam family "Pseudomonas sRNA CrcZ". The record is from Rfam by way of RNAcentral. Lineage: Bacteria; Pseudomonadati; Pseudomonadota; Gammaproteobacteria; Pseudomonadales; Pseudomonadaceae.
ACAAGAAAAAUAAAAACCUGUACCACCCACAUAAUAAAAACAAGACGAAUCGACUCACGCAUAACAAGAACAACACGGCGGAGGCGCAGCUAACUGAUUCUUUUGGAGAGGUGUUGUAUUUGGGGCUUGCCCCACGACCAGGCUGAGAACAACAAAAACUACCCCAAGGUAGCACCUGAACUGGUUGGAUCGAUUGAUCAUUGCAAGACAGCGACCAAAGCAAUCCGUUUGCUCUUUACUCUCGGUUUGAGAGGUUUCACAGGCACAAAGCCUUGUGAAUGGGCACUCAACAAAAACAAGAAGCCCGACUCAAUAAUAAAAAUAAAGAGCACGCACUUUGGGGGAGCUUCGGCUCCCCCAGUAGCUUCCGGACUUCUGUCACCCUGCCUAC